CCUACGGGGGGCAGCAGUGGGGAAUAUUGGACAAUGGGGGAAACCCUGAUCCAGCCAUGCCGCGUGAGUGAUGAAGGCCUUAGGGUUGUAAAGCUCUUUUGCCAGGGAUGCGGUACCUGGAGAAUAAGCACCGGCUAACUUCGUGCCAGCAGCCGCGGUAAUACGAAGGGUGCUAGCGUUGUUCGGAAUCACUGGGCGUAAAGCGCGCGUAGGCGGCUUAACAAGUCAGGGGUGAAAUGCCAAGGCUUAACCUUGGAACUGCCUUUGAAACUGUUAAGCUAGAGACUCGGAGGGGAUGGCGGAAUUCCUAAUGUAGAGGUGAAAUUCGUAGAUAUUAGGAGGAACACCGGUGGCGAAGGCGGCCAUCUGGCGGUACUGACGCUGAGGCGCGAAAGCGUGGGGAUCAAACAGGAUUAGAUACCCUUGUAGUC
This 431-nucleotide ribosomal RNA is filed under the name uncultured bacterium. Its description in RNAcentral is "partial 16S ribosomal RNA". It matches the Rfam family "Bacterial small subunit ribosomal RNA", at positions 338 to 795 of the family's 1533-position model. The record is from RNAcentral.